UGAGCAGGUAUUGUGUAUCUGUGUUGUGUUACAUAUAAAAGCUUUGUUUCGCAAAGAGUUCGCUGCUAAAAAAGAACUGUCAGGGGAAAAUGGGCAGUUGUGUUUGAUAUAACAUGUUGAAAUUUCAACAAUGAUCUCCAAAUCG
Molecule: non-coding RNA, 145 nt
Organism: Populus trichocarpa (black cottonwood)
Lineage: Eukaryota; Viridiplantae; Streptophyta; Magnoliopsida; Malpighiales; Salicaceae
Source: Rfam